This 441-nucleotide ribosomal RNA is filed under the name uncultured bacterium. RNAcentral's name for it is "bacterial SSU rRNA". It matches the Rfam family "Bacterial small subunit ribosomal RNA", at positions 28 to 507 of the family's 1533-position model. The record is from RNAcentral.
GAUGAACGCUAGCGGCAUGCCUAAGGUAUGCAAGUUGUGCGAAAUACCACCUUGGUGGUGGAAAGCGGCGGACGGGUGAGUAACGCGUAGAAACAUACCCCAAAGUGAGGGAUAAUUCCGGGAAACCGGGACUAAUACCGCAUACUGUCUACGGACAAAAGAUUUAUCGCUAUGGGAAUGGUCUGCGUCCGAUUAGCUUAAGUUGGUGAGGUAAAGGCUCACCAAGGCGAUGAUCGGUAGCUGGUUUGAGAGGAUGAUCAGCCACACUGGAACUGAGACACGGUCCAGACCCUACGGGGGGCAGCAACUAGGAAUCUUCCACAAUGGGCGAAAGCCUGAUGGAGCAAUGCCGCGUGCAGGAUGAGGACCUUGGUUCGUAAACUGCUUUUAUAUGUGAAGAUUAUGACGGUAGCAUAUGAAUAAGGAUCGGCUAACUACGUG